GCGCGAGUAGCUCAAUUGGAUAGAGUGGCGGCCUCCGAAGCCGUAGGUUGUGGGUUCAACUCCCGCCUCGCGCACCA
RNAcentral lists this transfer RNA (77 nucleotides) under Pedosphaera sp. RNAcentral's name for it is "tRNA-Arg". It matches the Rfam family "tRNA". Rfam says of the family: Transfer RNA (tRNA) molecules are approximately 80 nucleotides in length. Their secondary structure includes four short double-helical elements and three loops (D, anti-codon, and T loops). Lineage: Bacteria; Pseudomonadati; Verrucomicrobiota; Pedosphaerae; Pedosphaerales; Pedosphaeraceae. The record is from RNAcentral.